AUACAUUGAAGCCGCAGCUGGAGGAUCCACCAAGGUCAUUGAGAAACGCCACCCCGUGGACAUCAUAGGGAGAGCCCCUUGUGAGCUUGUUACUCCCGUAAGAAACAAACUCAUAGUGGUGGCUUAUGGUGUGGCUGAGCAACCGAUGCAAGGCCAAACACUACUUGAUGUGCAGAUUCAAGCUCGCUAUGCCAAAGUUGGGGUGGACCGAGUGGCUGACGGUUAGCAGGUCCUAAAAUUGGAGAUCCCUAAGGGUGACGGGGAAAAAAAUUUAGAAGAAGCUAUCCAUGGUUGGAUUCAGUGGCCCAAGCGGUUCGUAAGGAUUAUGCAGCUGAAUUCCCCAAUUUUGGGAUCAUCUCCUCAAGAUUCAAGGGCAAGAUCACCUACACCAUCUGCCAGGGCACACUCUCUAUUACCAGAUAGGUCUCCUAGCAUGAGUCCAGUACUAGAAAGGGAUCCAAGCAUGAGUCCACCUCCCCCUCCUACGAAGAAAUGUUCAUUUUCUCCUCCACCUCCACC
RNAcentral lists this long non-coding RNA (519 nucleotides) under Setaria viridis. Its description in RNAcentral is "long non-coding RNA (SVIR_LNC003767)". The record is from RNAcentral. Lineage: Eukaryota; Viridiplantae; Streptophyta; Magnoliopsida; Poales; Poaceae.